GAAUGUAUAACUUAGUGGUUACAGCGUUGAGUUGUUUCCAAGUAGCGCGAGUUCGAAUCACUCUACGUUCA
This 71-nucleotide transfer RNA is filed under the name Heliconius melpomene (postman butterfly). RNAcentral's name for it is "tRNA HMEL003656". Lineage: Eukaryota; Metazoa; Arthropoda; Insecta; Lepidoptera; Nymphalidae. The record is from RNAcentral.